AUAAGCAUAUCAAUAAGCGGAGGAAAAGAAACCAACAGGGAUUGCCCCAGUAACGGCGAGUGAAGCGGCAGGAGCUCAAAUUUGAAAUCUGACCUCCUCCGGGGGUCCGAGUUGUAAUUUGCAGAGGAUGCUUCGGGUGCGGCCCCCGUCUAAGUUCCUUGGAACAGGACGUCAGAGAGGGUGAGAAUCCCGUCUUGGGCGGGCGGCCCGCGCCCGUGUGAAGAUCCUUCGACGAGUCGAGUUGUUUGGGAAUGCAGCUCUAAGCGGGUGGUAAAUUUCAUCUAAAGCUAAAUACUGGCCGGAGACCGAUAGCGCACAAGUAGAGUGAUCGAAAGGUUAAAAGCACCUUGAAAAGGGAGUUAAACAGCACGUGAAAUUGUUGAAAGGGAAGCGCUUGCGGCCAGACUCGGGGGCGGGGUUCAGCGGGCGCUCGUCGCCCGUGCACUCCCCGCGCCCCGGGCCAGCAUCAGUUUCGACGGCCGGUCAAAGGCCCCCGGAAUGUGUCGUCUCUAGGGACGUCUUAUAGCCGGGGGUGCAAUGCGGCCCGUCGGGACUGAGGAACGCGCUCCGGCUCGGAUGCUGGCGUAAUGGCCGUAAGCGGCCCGUCUUGAAACACGGACCAAGGAGUCUAACAUCCACGCGAGUGUUCGGGUGUCAAACCCGUGCGCGCAGUGAAAGCGAACGGAGGUGGGAGCCUUUGGGCGCACCAUCGACCGAUCCUGAAGUCUUCGGAUGGAUUUGAGUAGGAGCGUGGCCGUUGGGACCCGAAAGAUGGUGAACUAUGCCUGAGUAGGGUGAAGCCAGAGGAAACUCUGGUGGAGGCUCGCAGCGGUUCUGACGUGCAAAUCGAUCGUCAAAUUUGGGCAUAGGGGCGAAAGACUAAUCGAACCAUCUAGUAGCUGGGUUCCUGCCGAG
Molecule: ribosomal RNA, 915 nt
Filed under: Trichophyton verrucosum
Lineage: Eukaryota; Fungi; Ascomycota; Eurotiomycetes; Onygenales; Arthrodermataceae
Description: LSU rRNA
Rfam family: Eukaryotic large subunit ribosomal RNA
Source: RNAcentral